This 244-nucleotide ribosomal RNA is filed under the name uncultured bacterium. Its description in RNAcentral is "partial 16S ribosomal RNA". It matches the Rfam family "Bacterial small subunit ribosomal RNA", at positions 524 to 767 of the family's 1533-position model. The record is from RNAcentral.
UACGUAGGGCGCAAGCGUUGUCCGGAAUUAUUGGGCGUAAAGAGCUCGUAGGCGGCCUGUUGCGUCCGCUGUGAAAUCCCGGGGCUCAACCCCGGGCCUGCAGUGGAUACGGGCUGGCUAGAGGCAGGCAGGGGAGAACGGAAUUCCUGGUGUAGCGGUGAAAUGCGCAGAUAUCAGGAGGAACACCGGUGGCGAAGGCGGUUCUCUGGGCCUGUACUGACGCUGAGGAGCGAAAGCGUGGGGA